AAUGAACGCUGGCGGCAUGCCUAACACAUGCAAGUCGAACGAGACCUUCGGGUCUAGUGGCGCACGGGUGCGUAACGCGUGGGAAUCUGCCCUUGGGGUCAGAAUAACUCGCCGAAAGGCGUGCUAAUACCGGAUGAUGACGUAAGUCCAAAGAUUUAUCGCCCAAGGAUGAGCCCGCGUAGGAUUAGCUAGUUGGUGGGGUAAAGGCCCACCAAGGCGACGAUCCUUAGCUGGUCUGAGAGGAUGAUCAGCCACACUGGGACUGAGACACGGCCCAGACUCCUACGGGAGGCAGCAGUGGGGAAUAUUGGACAAUGGGCGAAAGCCUGAUCCAGCAAUGCCGCGUGAGUGAUGAAGGCCUUAGGGUUGUAAAGCUCUUUUACCCGGGAUGAUAAUGACAGUACCGGGAGAAUAAGCCCCGGCUAACUCCGUGCCAGCAGCCGCCGCGG
RNAcentral lists this ribosomal RNA (449 nucleotides) under uncultured bacterium. Its description in RNAcentral is "partial 16S ribosomal RNA". It matches the Rfam family "Bacterial small subunit ribosomal RNA", at positions 29 to 523 of the family's 1533-position model. The record is from RNAcentral.